RNAcentral lists this ribosomal RNA (160 nucleotides) under uncultured bacterium. RNAcentral's name for it is "partial 16S ribosomal RNA". It matches the Rfam family "Bacterial small subunit ribosomal RNA", at positions 372 to 525 of the family's 1533-position model. The record is from RNAcentral.
UGGGCGCAGCCUGAUGCAGCAAUGCCGCGUGAGUGAUGAAGGCCUUCGGGUUGUAAAGCUCUUUUGUCCGGGAAGAAAAUGACGGGACUAAUAUCGGAGGCGCAUGACAGUUCCGGGCCAACAACCCCCGGCUAACUACAUGCCAGCAGCCGCGGUAAUA